UUAGUUAUUCAAGGAUUGAGGACUCCUUGAGGAUCCAAUCUUAUUAUUUGAGGACGGGGAUAAAGAUCCCUUCAAAUAAUUCUAAUGAGGAUGGGGAGAGGACGGGAAUAUAUGUAAAAUAUCGAGAAAGAGAUUGGAGACGUCGGUCCCCUCCCCUCCCUAUUGCCAUCUCUAGAAAUGAAUAUAUCAUUCUGACUUAAUUAUAAAAGGAAUUAAUACAAUUAUCAGCUUUGAAUAUGUUAUCACUUUAUUCACUGUACUAGGAAUUUUCUUCUUUGUUAAUUUUCAUUUUUGGGGACCAAACUAAGUUUAUUCAUGGUGUCCUAUACGACACAGUUCAUGCCUUUAUGUGAUGUGUCUCACUUUUUCUUAGCAAGAACCGCUGCAGAGGUGUGUAGCCUGUUAGGAAAUUGGUGGGUGAAGCAGGACCGCAGCUAAAAUGAAAUUGGAAAUAAAAUAAAGAACAAGCACAAUAGAGGACACCAGAAAUUACGUGGUUCGGCUUUUAACCUACAUCCACGGGCGAAGACAAAAGGAAAUAUUUUACUAGUGAAAAGAAGUUACAAGUAUUGUAGUAUUUUAGCUCACUACCCAAAACCUCAAUACACCCAAACUCUCAAAUCACUAAAAUUAGAGCUUAUAAAUGCAAGCUCUUAAACUCUCAAUUCUCUCUACAAAACUUGGAUCUCAAGAUUGGAAUAAAAUGAAUUAGGGAGCUCUUCCUUUUAUAGCCAAAAAAUGGCUAUUAAAUUAAUAUAUAUAUGUAUAUAUUUCAAAUGUUGUUGCCAACUUCUUCUUUUUCUCCAUUUGGAUGGCACCAUUUUCUUUGGCCGGCAUCACCAUUUUCUUUGGUCGGCUUGUCAAAGCCAACUUGAAUUGGCUUUGUGGCCACCGGCCUUUGACAUUUCUCCCACUUGGAGAUUUGAUUGAAAAUCAAUCAAUCUCCACAUCAUCCUUUCUGCUUCGCCAUAAUCAUGUUGCCUACGUUGCUGCUAGGCCACAGGAGGAUCUACUCCAGACAAACUUAUCAGUAUUUAUCGGCUUGGUCAAAACAUCUGCUAGGUUCUCCUUCGUAUGGAUUUUCUGUAAAUCCACACUUCCAUCUUCCACUACUUCUCGAACGAAGUGAUACUGAACUCCUAUGUGCUUUGUCCUGGAAUGAAAAGCUGGAUUCCUUGCAAUGUGCAAGGCACUCUGACUGUCACAAAACACAGGAAUUUUCUGUUGUUUGUGCCCGAGCUCCUCCAAUAAUCUUUGUAUCCAGAUAGCUUCCUUGCAAGCUUGUGUAGCUGCCAUGUAUUCUGCUUCUGUUGUAGAUAAAGCCACAACGGUCUGCAGUUUCGAAACCCAGCUUACAGCUGCUCCCGCAAGUGUAAACACAUAACCAGUAGUGGAUUUCCUUUUAUCAAGAUCUCCUGCAAAAUCUGAAUCCACAUAACCUCUGACAGUAAACUCUGAUCCUCCAUAACAUAAUGCAACAUCUGAGGUUCCUCUGAUGUAUCUCAGAAUCCUCUUUACAGUUAUCCAAUGCUCUCCGCCAGGAUUCGCCAUGUAUCGACUGACUGCUCCCACUGCUUGUGCAAUGUCCGGUCUUGUACAUAUCAUAGCGAACAUUAAACUUCCCACUGCUGAUGCAUACGGUACUCGAGACAUCUCCUUCCUCUCUGCUUCAUUGCUAGGACACAUACUUGAGGAUAAUUUGAAAUUAACAGGAAGUGGGGUAGAAAUUGACUUACAAUCUUGCAUGUUGAAGCGCCGCAAGAUUUUCUUCAAAUAAUUCUUCUGUGAGAGCCAAAUCUUCCUGUUAUUUCUGUCUCGGUGAAUUUGCAUCCCUAGAAUCUUGUUUGCUGGUCCCAAGUCCUUCAUUUCAAACUCCCUAGCCAACUGUGCCUUCAAUUCUUGGAUUCGAUCUUUGUUGGGACCUGCUACCAACAUGUCAUCCACAUACAACAGUAAAAUGAUGAAAUCAUUAUCUUCAAACCUCUUGUAAUAUGUACAAUGAUCUGAACUGAGUCUGUUGUAUCCAAGGCUUAUGAUGAAGGAAUCAAAUCUCUUAUACCAACACCUCGGCGCCUGUUUGAGACCGUAUAGAGAUUUGUUCAACCUGCAAACCAAGUUCUCCUUUCCUUUUUCUGCAAAACCUUCUGGUUGGAGCAUAUAAAUUUCUUCUUCAAGUUCUCCAUGAAGAAAUGCAGUUUUAACAUCUAACUGCUCUAGAUGUAGGUUAAAUGUAGCACACAUUGCCAAGACUAUUCUGACUGUUGUGAGUCGAACCACCGGAGAAAAUAUCUCUUUGAAGUCAAUACCUUCUUUCUGAGCAUAUCCUUUCACUACCAGUCUCGCACGAUACCGCUCCACUUGGUCAUUGCCAUCACGUUUGAUCUUGUAGACCCAUUUGUUUCCAAUGGUUUUUCUUCCACGUGGUAGUGGUACAAGUUCCCAUGUCUUGUUCUUGUGUAGAGCUUCAAUUUCUUCCUGCAUUGCUGUCAUCCACAAAGCAACAUCUGAGCUGUUUAAAGCUUCAUGGAAAGUUGAAGGCUCUCCAUCCUCUGUUAGAAGACAGUAUGCAACGUUGAUCUCUGUGGCAUACUCCGAGUGCCACGUUGGCGGUCGUCUCUCACGAGUUGACCGACGAACUUCUGGAGCCUCGGACUCAACUGGUUCUUGUUCCUCGUGCUCUGAUGCUGCUUCAGAAGAAUCUGAAUCUUCUGGAUUAUUUUCGACAUAUACCGGCACAGUCUCUGACUUUUCUUUUACAGUGCCAUCAUCUUCAUCUUUUCUUUGCAGUUGAUCUUCUACAAAAAUAACAUCUCUGCUGAUGACGAUCUUGUGGGCAGUGGGGUCCCACAGACGAUACCCCUUUACUCCAUCAGCAUACCCCAAGAAGAUACAUCUUCUAGAUUUUGCAUCCAGCUUUGUUCUUUCUUGGGCAUUGUACAUCACGUACACAGGACAUCCAAAUGCAUGUAGGUAGGAAUAAUCAGCUGGCUUUCCAGUCCACAUCUCCAUCGCCGUCUUCAACCCAAUAGCUGUAGAUGGCGACCGAUUUACUAUAUAACAGACAGUUUUGGCUGCUUCUGCCCAGAAUGAAUUGGGUAGACCAGCAGUCCUCAACAUAGCUCUUAUUCUUUCUGUAAAAGUUCUGUUCAUCCGUUCUGCCACUCCAUUUUGUUGAGGAGUAUAUGCCACCGUGAACUGUCUCUGAAUACCUUCUUGCUUAUAGAAAGCAAGAAACUCGCCGUCUGUAUAUUCUCCACCAUUAUCUGUCCUCAAGCACUUGAUCUUUUUACCAGAUUCAAGUUCCACCCGCGCUUUGUAUUCUUUAAACACUGGAAAUACAUCUGACUUUUUCUUAAUUGGAUACACCCAACAUCUUCUGGAAUAAUCAUCAAUGAAAGUCACCAUGUACUUUGCACCUCCCAUGGAUAUAUCCGGUGAUUCCCAGACAUCAGAAUGAAUCAAGUCUAGAAUAUAUUUACUUCUAGCAAUAGAUCUACUGAAUUUUAAUCUAUGCUGCUUACUUGUAACACAAUGCUCGCAAAAUGGUAAACUUACCGAUUUGAGCCCCGGAAGUAAUUUUCGCUCAGAGAGAAUCUUCAAUCCUUGUUCCGACAUGUGGCCAAGUUUGAGAUGCCACAUCAUCGUUGACUCUUCUCCAUUUGAUGCGACACACGCAUCAGCCUCCUGUAGUGUUUCUCCUUUAAGCAUGAAUAAAUUAGCACCAAUCUUUUCUGCCUUCAUCAAUACAAGCGCGCAUUUAAUGAUCUUCAUUAUUCCAUUCUCCACAUGAGUUUUAUACCCAUGACUAUCCAUUUGUCCCAAAGACAAUAGAUUUUUCUUCAGGCCAUUGACAUGUCUUACCUCUCCAAUUGUGCGAAUUGUACCAUCAAACAUUUUUAUUUUGAUAGUACCAAUACCAGCGAUCUCCAAGGCAUGAUCGUUACCCAUAUAUACAGAUCCUCCUGAGAUAGGUUCAUAUGUGUGGAACCAUUCUCUCCUAGAGGUCAUGUGCCAGGUAGCUCCCGAGUCUAUAAGCCAGACAUCAGAAAGUCGUUUUCUGCCUUCUGAAACAGUUGUUGCCUCACUGUAGAGAAUUUCGCCAUCAUCUGAGGUACUUGCUACACACCCCUGAGCAUUUGAUGACUCAGGUUCUUUGCCCUCUCUUUUCUUCUGGUUACUCCAACACUCCUUUUUGACGUGCCCUUUCUUGCCACAGUUGUAGCAUUUAACAUUCUUCUUACUUCUGGAUUUUGAUCUACCAUGAUUUUGACUCCCACUGGGGCCACGUUCUGUUGAUCUUCCUCUCGUCACCGAUAGCGCCUCCGCUUGCUGCGAACUUGCUUGUCUGUUUUCCUUGUUUUUCCGCCUGCUCUCCUCAUUUAAUACGGAGGCUGCAACAUCGUCGAAAACUAGACUCUCCACUGGAUUAUUGUUCGUCAGGUUGAUGAUGAGUUGAUCAUACGAAUCUGGUAGACUUUGAAGUAGAAGCUCUGCACGUUCAUUUUCCUCUAUAUUAUGACCCAACGUUGUGAGUUGUGAAAAUAGAGUCUUCAAUGUGUUGAUGUGGUCGGUCACCAUUGUAGAUUCCGCCAUUCGAAGAGUAUAGAGUUUCCUCUUCAAGAAGAUUUUAUUGUGUAGUGACUUGGCCUCGUACAAUUUUGUGAGAGUAUCCCAUAUUUCCUUCGCCGUAUUUUUCUCUGCCACACUGGAUAAUACUCCAUCCGCAAGUGCCAAGUGUAGAUCAGAAAUGGCAUUGCCGUCUACCUCGUUCCACUUGUCAUCAGUUAUCUCCAUGGGCCUUUCUUCAAUUGCUGCCAAGCAAUUAUUUUUCCUUAAUACAGCUUUCAUCUUCAUUUUCCACAACGAAAAAUUAUUUCCGUUAAAUUUCUCAAUUUCAUACUUUGCCGCCAUUUUAUUGAUAAAUACUGUACACAAGCUAGUGUACCACCUUGAAUAGUUGUGAGUAUGUGUGAGAAUGCACACCAGGAAAGUUCCCAGGAAAGACUGGAGGGGUCACAAUGGUCCCACUUAAAACCCAGACUCCUUAAGCUCUUAUCGCCUUUGUGACAGAACUUUCCUAGACAUGUACAGAACCACACAGUUGCUUUACUCACACCACUAUUCCCUGCUUUGCACCGUAAAAUUCUUGGAUCGCUUCCACCGUUUCACGUGAAUAGUACCGUAUACAUGAAUAGUGCCGUACACCAUAUACGUGAAUAGUGCCGUACGCAGUAUACGUGAAUAGUAUCGUAUGCCGUAUACGUGAAUAGUGCCGUACGCCGUAUACGUGAAUACGUGAACAAUUCCUGACUCCAAAAAUACAACCAAUAGCUCUGAUACCACUGUUAGGAAAUUGGUGGGUGAAGCAGGACCGCAGCUAAAAUGAAAUUGGAAAUAAAAUAAAGAACAAGCACAAUAGAGGACACCAGAAAUUACGUGGUUCGGCUUUUAACCUACAUCCACGGGCGAAGACAAAAGGAAAUAUUUUACUAGUGAAAAGAAGUUACAAGUAUUGUAGUAUUUUAGCUCACUACCCAAAACCUCAAUACACCCAAACUCUCAAAUCACUAAAAUUAGAGCUUAUAAAUGCAAGCUCUUAAACUCUCAAUUCUCUCUACAAAACUUGGAUCUCAAGAUUGGAAUAAAAUGAAUUAGGGAGCUCUUCCUUUUAUAGCCAAAAAAUGGCUAUUAAAUUAAUAUAUAUAUGUAUAUAUUUCAAAUGUUGUUGCCAACUUCUUCUUUUUCUCCAUUUGGAUGGCACCAUUUUCUUUGGCCGGCAUCACCAUUUUCUUUGGCCGGCUUGUCAAAGCCAACUUGAAUUGGCUUUGUGGCCACCGGCCUUUGACAUAGCCACCCAUUUAAAGAAAUUCCUGGAGACUGUAUAUGCAUUUAGUCUCAGAGCACUGCAAGUCCAAACAAAUCAGGGAGAUAAUUAACCUCCGCUGCCUCAGAGCAAGUAAAGCUUUAGGAGUCCAUCGAGUGAUACCAUCGGGGUGUGCGGUGCAGUAGGUGAUAUGCUUCUCUGUUCUCGGAUGAAUCUCAUUUUCGGGAUGACCAAACCCCAAGAUUUUUUAAACAGCCAAAUCUCUCGGACGUAGUCGGCAGGGCUGCCUUUCCAGCUAUUCCUGGGCAGUGUGUUUGAUUCUCCAGGGGAACAGGACAGGUGGUCACACUCUUUAACGUCACAACACAAUUAUUUGAUCAGAAAAGCUUUGUGGUCCAGCUCUUUAAUGUCACGGAGCAAUCAUUAAAUGAAUUAUUGAGAAAAUACCGUAUAACUUUUUACAAGA
RNAcentral lists this long non-coding RNA (6290 nucleotides) under Citrus x clementina. RNAcentral's name for it is "Citrus clementina (C. clementina) long non-coding RNA (CCLE_LNC004432)". Lineage: Eukaryota; Viridiplantae; Streptophyta; Magnoliopsida; Sapindales; Rutaceae. The record is from RNAcentral.